UACGUAGGUGGCAAGCGUUGUCCGGAUUUAUUGGGCGUAAAGAGCGUGUAGGCGGUUUGGUAGGUCCGCUGUGAAAACUCGAGGCUCAACCUCGAGACGCCGGUGGAAACCAUCAGGCUAGAGUCCGGAAGAGGAGAGUGGAAUUCCUGGUGUAGCGGUGAAAUGCGCAGAUAUCAGGAAGAACACCCGUGGCGAAGGCGGCUCUCUGGGACGGUACUGACGCUGAGACGCGAAAGCGUGGGGAGCGAACAGG
RNAcentral lists this ribosomal RNA (253 nucleotides) under uncultured bacterium. RNAcentral's name for it is "partial 16S ribosomal RNA". It matches the Rfam family "Bacterial small subunit ribosomal RNA", at positions 524 to 776 of the family's 1533-position model. The record is from RNAcentral.